Molecule: ribosomal RNA, 1133 nt
Filed under: uncultured organism
Description: bacterial SSU rRNA
Rfam family: Bacterial small subunit ribosomal RNA
Source: RNAcentral
GGGCCUACCGGCGGGAGAGCGGCCCAUGUCCUAUCAGCUUGUUGGUGAGGUAACGGCUCACCAAGGCGACGACGGGUACCGGGACUGACAGGUUGGUCCGGCGCAUUGGGACUGAAACACUGCCCAGACUCCUACGGGAGGCUGCAGUAACGAAUAUUCCACAAUGGACGCAAGUCUGAUGGAGCAAUGCCACGUGCGGUGACGACACCACUUCGGUGUUGUAAACCGCUGUCAGGGAUUACCAAGCAACGAGAGGCUAAUACCCUCCCGCGUUGAGGCGUCCCAGAGGAAGCCACGGUUAACUUCGUGCCAUCAGCCGAGGUAAUACGAAGGUGGCGAGCGUUGUUCGGAAUCACUGGGCUUAAAGGGCUGUGCAGGCGUGCCGUGCAAGCGUCUUGUGAAAUCCCCCGGCUCAACCGGGGAAUGGCUGGGCGAACUGCACGGCUUGAGGCAUGUAGGGGUGCGUGGAACUCUUGGUGGAGCGGUGAAAUGCGUAGAUAUCAAGAGGAACGCCGGAGGCGAAAGCGACGCACUGGGCCUGUCCUGACGCUGAGACGCGAAGGCCAGGGGAGCGAACGGGAUUAGAUACCCCGGUAGUCCUGGCAGUAAACGUUGCCUACUAGGUCGGAGGUCUUCUGACAGGGUUCCGGCCGGAACUAAAGCGUUAAGUAGGCCGCCUGGGGAGUACGGUCGCAAAGGCUAAAAUCUCAAAGGAAUUGACAGGGGGCUCACACAACCGGUGGAGCAUGUUGCUUAAUUCCGAUGCAACGCGAAGAACCUUAUCCUGGGCGUUGACAUGAUCGGAUGCCCGCCGUAGGAAACAGCUUGGGUUGCCCUUCAGGGGUGGAACGAUCACAUGUGUGCUGUAUGGCUGUGAGUCAGCUCGUGUCGUGAGAUGUUGGAUUAAGUCCGGGUAACGAGCGAAACCCUUGUCGCCUAGUUGCCAGCGCGUCAUGGCGGGGACUCUAGUGAGACUGCCGGUGUGAAACCGGAGGAAGGUGGGGAUGACGUCAAGUCAUCAUGGCCUUUAUGUCCCAGGCCUGCAAACGUGCUACAAUGGCCGGUACAGACCGACGCGAGACCGCGAGAUGGAGCAAAUCGGAUAAAGCCGGCCCCAGUUCGGAUUGGAGUCU